UGGCUCUUAUUUUUUUGACUACACAUUCUACCAUUUGCACUUUCCCUAGAGGAGUUAGAAAUGUGUGCAAUGCAUCACACCACAUACUUCAUUUAAAAAAAAAAAAAGGUAUAAUAGCUCAUAUUUCUAGCAUGAAGAGUUUUUCUGAUCAUAGUUUCAGUUCCUACAGGACAAAAGAGGUUGUUCAGUAAGAAGAGAUGAGAAUAAAGGACAUAAAUGUUGUGCAGGAAGCUCUUCUCCCCUCUUUUUAUUUUCUUUCUUAAAGAAAAAGAGAAGCAAGGAUGUGCAUGCAAAUGAUUCUUUUCAAAGUUGAACUGCAGGAGAUGUGGCUUCCUAGAUAUAAGAGGAGUAGGGCAAAUGAUGGCCAGGGGCUGCAGCUGCCCAGUACCACACCCUGAUGUGGGGUUUGUGAGCAAGCUGCUCACACCAAGGAGUCCCCUUGCUCUCCAGAAAUGAAAUAUUUUCAUUGGACAAGAGAUCAGCUGGACCUGCAAAGAUUCCAUUAGGAUACUUAAAGUUAUUCUUUAGGCAGAAAAGACUUCCUAAUGAGGAAAAUCCUGUCACACAUAUGACUUUCAUGGACUGUCGUGGGAGCUGGCUGUGUUCAAUGAGAGGGAUUCAGUCACCUGAAUCCAGGUGUGUGUUAGCAUUUUGGAUGCCUUGGGUAUCUAAAACAUCCUCAAGGGACCAGCAGGACCUUCAGGAGACCUUUUUAUUCUGGAGUGGCAACUAGAAGCCAGUAGGGAAAACUUUCAUCCACCUCAGUUGUUGUUAGGCACCGGUGUUUGGCAACUGAAUCUCGUUUGACAUCCGGGGUCCUCCUACUCUUCCCCAUGGCUCUGAGUGGGUGACAGAAAUGUUCAAAGGGACUCUGAAAACAUUUUUACAGUGAAGGAGCACCUUUCCUUUCCAGCAGUCCCUCAGCCACUGCUGUUCAUUCCCUUGCACUGAAAGAGGAGGAGAAAAAGGAGUUUCCUGCAACAAAAGGUAGCAAACCGUUCUGUGACUAUCACAAGCAUUUCUCGCUGCAUGGGAAGGGGAAGGUUGCAGUCAGGAGAUAUCGUGAGUCAUGUGAACCUAAAGGAAGGGUGAAGUUCGAAGAUCUUAUUCUCCGUUGUCUAAUCAUGGACAGAAAAAAGAAACAUACAUCAGAUGGAGGGACAGUGCUUCCCAAUGAGACUGGUAGUAUUUUGCCUCUACUAUGCACAGGUGCAGAGCAAGACAGACAAUCCCCGAGUCUGAGUUUUUCUUGAUUUGUCACAGUUCUAAUUCCUUAACACAAGUCAAGUUCUGUUUGCAGAGAUGAGCUUUUAGGCUUAAAUGCACAUUUAAAAUUCAAGAGUUUCUUUUUUUUUUUUUUUUUUUUCUUUUAUUUUUUUUUUUCAAAGUCAGGGAAUUAAGAGUGUUUCUAGAUAUUAUUUUCUGUUUGUCCGAAUUAUCCACCAUAAUUAAAUAGACAGGAUACUUCACCUUCCUUCCCUAAAAACAACAUGCUUUAGCAUGCAGUUCUUCCUGCAAAGAGUUAAUUGAAGCAAAUAAAGUUCUUAAAUUGUUAAUAAUCCUCACAAUUUGAUCUUGUUCUUUUUCCCCCUCAAGCAGUAAGAGGAUAAGUGCGAGUGAUAGCCAGAUUUAUAAAUUAUUUCUUGUGAGCUGAAUGCUUUAAAAGGGAAUAUAAAAAUCUGCUAUGUGUCAGGCGAUCCAUGGAGGCAUUAGCAAGCGUGGCUGAUUCUCAGUCCCCUGAAAGCAGGAGUGAUAAUUUGUAAAUCUAGGAACUGUACGUGGAGAAUGGUAAUUUGUCAUUAGUAAGAUUAACAUGAUCAAGGGAAUAGAAUAGAUUAUUUACAUAUAAAAUACAGAAGAUCAUUGAUGCAGCAGUGAUGAAUAAAUACAUUUUGAUAAAAUUAAAUCAAUAUUUUUAGGAAUCAAUACCAUAGUUUUUAGCUGUCACAUAACACUGUAGCUUAUCUUUUAUGUUUUAUGAAAAUGUAUUGGCUAUUUGAGAAUGGUGUUAUAUAUAUAUCUAUGUGUGUGUGUGUAUAUAUGUAUUAUUAUUUUUUUCCUGGGCUUCUUUGUUUAAUCUACUUGUGGAGCAAUUCUUUUGAAACCCCAUACAUUUAGCCACAGAUUACUUUUCUUAGUUCCUUUAGAAUGAAAUACCACUUAAGAUAUAGAGUAUCUGAACACUCAUAUACUAUUUAAAGGGACACGACAUUUUUAUUAUUUCAGUUUCAUAUUCUAGCUAUUUAUUUUUUUUUUUUUUGUUCAAAUAGAUUUGCCUUCUUGCAGAGAAACUAUUACAAAUAAUUUAAUACAUUUUGAUCAUGCUUUCAUUGCUGACUGAAUUGCAGUUGCUGCCAUGGUUCAUUUACUUAUACAAACUGUGCUCACACUGUUGUUCAAAAAUUCAACAUUAUCAGGUGAAAAAAAAUGUAUGAAGAUAGGAAGACAUCAUCCUGACCACUAAGUAAUGCAGAAUGAAAUACCAAUUGGCAAGUUCUUAACUCUGACUUUCAAAUACACCAUUUGCAUUGAUUUGUAACUACUUCCAAUAAGUGAUUAUGAUCUUUUAAAAAUAAAUAAAUAAAUAUUUCUGAAAGCUUCAGUAAACUAUGCUAUCAUAGAGUUUAAAGAAUUUAAAGCAAAUUACUCAAGGAAUAUUGCUCAAAGCAAGUGCUAUCCAAGGCAGUGACUUUUGUGGGUGACUGAGCACUGAAGCAAAUCUAUGAGGUUUGCUAAUGUAGACACUGAUUAUUUGCAAGAAGAUUCCUUUGCCGCAGAUGUUCUUGACAAAAGCAGUCCUUGAUCUUGCUGAUGUGAAUAUGUGCAAUGCUACACGUGUGUAGACACAAGGAUUUCAGUGGGAUUGUUCAUGUGGAUAAAAUUACUUGUGUGCCUGCAUGUCCAAGGCUCACGGCACUGGAGAGACUUAAUCAUUAAAAGGUGGAAUGUAGGCAUUUUUGUUAUAUUUUGUUAUACUGUGAAAAAUCACAAGUCAGCUUUAGUUACAGGAUUACUCUUCUCACAGAACAGGAUAUCCAAGGAAAUAAAAUGAACCAGAAGACAACAUUGUUCUGUAGUAAUAUAAGCUUUGAACAUUCUCUGCCGUAGGUUGCUCAGACUUCCAUUGACAUCAUGAGGGGGCUGUGUUUAGGUGAAUAAUUAUUUUGGCAAGGGCAAACAAAUGAAUAAAUGCUCAAGGGAUAGCUAAGCUAGAAGAAGAUGCAGCCAGAAUUCCAUGAUUCUUGCAUGUAAGGUUAUGAUUUUAGACACAACCAGAAUAUUUCACUCAGUUAGGUUUUUGCUCGUAAUCAGAAUUGAUUCACAAAUGCAUUAAUCUGCUAUAAGCACCCAUUUGCUGUCCAGACUGUUGGCCACAUAAGGCUCAAAAUGGGUCAUUUUGUAUUAAUAUGUAAAAAUAAAUUAAAGGGAAAUUGAUGGAUGGAUGCACAGAAAGACAUAAAUAAUAAGGAGGUGUUUGAAUAACCACCCCACAGAACAAAGCUCAAUAGAGAAAGUGUCAAUAACAAUGGUAACUUUCUAUUACCGGCUUUGUCAUUUUGAUAGUGGAAGCUUGACCAUAAGGAGAUAUCUCAUAUCCCAUAAGGAGAUAUUUCAUAUCAUAUUACAAAAUGGACCUUUAAGUCUUCAGUAUAGAUAGACAAGUAACUCCAUAGAAACUGCAGAUAUUUCCUGAGUUUCAGAUUUAUGAUUUACAAUAAUUUGGAUUACAAAGACUGCAGAUUUCCUUACCAGGAAAGAAUGAAUGAAUUCAUGCUCUGCUGUUUCCUCUUCACCUUGAAAUCUUGAUGAAGAUUUUUCAUUUUCAGAGAAAACUACUGUUUUGUGAAUGAUGUGUGCUUGGUACCAGAGGUUUUUAUUUAUUGCUCCUAAACUAAGACAGGAAUUUAGUAGUGCUGUUACUCCAAACUGACCAUAUAAUCAACAUAGAAAAUUAAAUCUUCCCACUAAUUUUAUAAGGGAGCAUUUGGGAACCUGUUUGCACAAAUUACAUACCUAGUAGAGAGGCCUAAUAUUACUCAGAUUCAAUUUAGACUUUAAGUGUCUUUGAAAUGUUCAAGAUUGAUUUUCACCCUGAAAUGAACUUUCCUACAAAAUUCCUAACAGGAAGUAUUGCAAUCUAACUUACACUGAUAAAGAUCAGUGGUAACCCUUCAAGUAAGUGUCUCAAAUGAAUAAUUUCCCAAGCUAAAGAGUUCCAUUUAAUAGAAUAUUUAUUGUGUGUUAAUUAAAGAUCAUUAAAAUCUUAUUUUGGGAGAACUUUAAUAACUCUAUGAGAACUGUAUAGAUAAACAGAGAAGAUACAUGUCUUUU
Anas platyrhynchos (mallard) is the source of this 4332-nucleotide long non-coding RNA. RefSeq lists it as uncharacterized. The record is from RefSeq and is a predicted model, not a curated record. NCBI's taxonomy places the organism in Eukaryota, Metazoa, Chordata, Aves, Anseriformes, Anatidae.